Helianthus annuus (common sunflower) is the source of this 213-nucleotide long non-coding RNA. RefSeq lists it as uncharacterized. The transcript has 3 exons. The record is from RefSeq and is a predicted model, not a curated record. NCBI's taxonomy places the organism in Eukaryota, Viridiplantae, Streptophyta, Magnoliopsida, Asterales, Asteraceae.
AAAUCACCCAAUUUCUUCCCUUCUCUGCUUCCAGAGAUGACUAUGGUGGUGUCACGGAAGAGGUCGAGGCAAGUUCCAACAACCCGAGAUCUAGGGUUUUUCUUUCGAAUUCAUGUCUGAGAUCUCAUGAUUCCACUUGGCUGAGGUAUCUUCUCUGGCGGCGGUAGUGAAUGUGACAACGGUGUACGGGAGCUGCGUGUGUGGAGACUCGAU